CACAGCGCCACUUAUUGUUCUAGAAAUAUACGUUUUUUGUAAAAACACAUAAUUUUUGAAAACAUUGUCCAAAAUUUGUUGCUUUGCUGUUAUUACAUGUGUAGAGCACUGUGAUGAAUGACAAGCAUCAAGUCUAAAGGUCCUGGGUUCAAUUCCCAUGUGGUGCAAGUUCUUAAAAUUUUGUGUAAUGUUGUGCCUUUUGUUUCCUUUCUUUUGUGGCUUAGCAUUGCACUAACCUUUCAACCUCUUGGUAUGCAUGUAAUUGCCUCUGUUCUUUUAAUUUCCUGAUCAAUCUGUUUCUCAGCUAUGCUUCUGAUCUUUUAUUCAUUCAUGUACAUUCUAUUUCUCAUCUUCGUGUUCUUUGGGUUCUGCAUUGCUGCACCUUUGGUGCUUGGCUCCAUUAAAUUUUGCUUGCGGCUUUAAUUAGGAUUUUCUCUGUCGGGAGUCUGAGAGAACGAGUAUUAUUGUCCAGCCAAUAAUAAGAUUUACGCUUUGGUUGUUUCUGCUUGAAAGGAACAAUAGAAUCUAAAAUAUUAGAGCCAAAUGUGUAAAAUAACGUAAUCAUCAGGCCCAGAAGAAGACUCUGCAGCACUCAAGAUAGAUGUUUCAACAGCAUUAGCUAGAUAACCUGCACUAAACUGAGAGGCAGUGAGUGAAAUAAUAAAACGGGAGUAAUAAACAAAAGGCCUACAGGACAUUAAAAACAAUGGGCUUAUGAUCAGAGACGGAAGCAUUUUCAAUAUUAACAUUAUCAACUGGGAUAAGCAAGUAGAAGCAACAUCACUCCGUCAUCAACCAGCCACGCACAGGAGCCCCUCACAAGAUUUCUGGCCAGGGAGUCAGAAGAAUAGUUAGAAGAGUAGCCCACGAGUCAAGGACCAUUCGGAAAGAGCUCCAGAAACAGUUGGAGGCAGCAGGUACCAUCGUUACUGUGACAGAGGGCUCUGUCACAAUUGCGGCAGCACUACAUUUAUAUGCACAAAUAAUCAACUACCCACCCGUUUUCCGGUUUACCCUACCCUUGGGUGCACACUAGGGCAGGUUAAUGCACCAACUGCAUACAUUACACACACAUAUCCACUCCAUUAUUG
Ictalurus punctatus (channel catfish) is the source of this 1091-nucleotide long non-coding RNA. NCBI's taxonomy places the organism in Eukaryota, Metazoa, Chordata, Actinopteri, Siluriformes, Ictaluridae. The record is from Ensembl.